CCAUAAUGAUGACUUGCCAUGCUAAUACUGAGAGAUCAUCUGGAUCUCGCUGAGUUGAAUUCUCAUACAUACUGAAUUUA
Molecule: small nucleolar RNA, 80 nt
Filed under: Dufourea novaeangliae
Lineage: Eukaryota; Metazoa; Arthropoda; Insecta; Hymenoptera; Halictidae
Source: RNAcentral